Molecule: ribosomal RNA, 505 nt
Filed under: Trevathana jensi
Lineage: Eukaryota; Metazoa; Arthropoda; Thecostraca; Balanomorpha; Pyrgomatidae
Description: partial 16S ribosomal RNA
Rfam family: Bacterial large subunit ribosomal RNA
Source: RNAcentral
AAAAACAUUUCUUCCUAGAUUAGGAGGUAAGGCCUGCUCACUGAAAAUUUAAAGAGCCGCAGUAUCCUAACUGUGCUAAGGUAGCAUAAUCAUUAGUCUUUUAAUUGAAGACUGGUAUGAAUGGCUUAACGAGAGAUUGACUUUUUUUAUUAUACAAAUUUAAUUUAAUUUUUUAGUGAAAAAGCUAAAAUUUUUCAGAAAGACGAGAAGACCCUAUAGAGUUUUAUGUUUUUUAUAUUUUUUAUUAUUAGAUUUUUAAAGAAUUAGUAUAAUUAAACAUUUUGUUGGGGCGACAUUAAGAUAAAAAAAACUCUUAUUUUUUAAAAUUUUUUUAAAAAUGUAAAUUGAUCCUUUAAAAAAGAUUAUAAGAAAAAAUUACCUUAGGGAUAACAGCGUAAUCUUUUUUGAGAGUUCUAAUCGACAAAAAGGUUUGCGACCUCGAUGUUGGACUAAAAUUUAGACAAGGUGCAGCCGCUUUGUUUUUAGGUCUGUUCGACCUAUAAAA